AGGAGGAGGGAGAGGAGGAAGGGAGGAAGCGCAACCGAGCCUCGUGGAUUGACCCGCCCGAGGAGGAUUACUCCACGCAGCUGACCCAGGCCGAGGUGGAGAGCUGCAUGAAGAAGUACGAGGUGGGUGGUGUCUGUCCCCUCUGUCCCCUCUGUCCCCUCUGUCCCACCUUCCUGGACCUCCUGGGCUCCCCGAGGUGUUCCUGGGGCUCCCUGAGGUGUCCCCGUGGCCAGCAGGAUCCUCAAGGUGUCCCCAUGGGUUCCUCGAGGUGUCCCCAUGGGUUCCUCGAGGUGUCUCCAUGAGUUCCUCAAGGUGUCCCAUGAGCUCUUCAAGGUGUCCCAUGGGUUCUUCAAGGUGUCCCCAUGGCUGGUGGCCUCCCCAAAGUGUCCCUGGUGGCCUUCCCAAGGUGUCCCCAUGAUUUGUGGGCUCCCCAAAGUGUCCCUGGUGGCCUCACCGAGGUGUCCCCAUGGCUAUCAGGAUCCCCCAAGGUGUCCCAUGGGUUCCUCAAGGUGUCCCCAUGGCUCCCCAGAAUGUCCCUGGACCUGGUGGCCUCACCAAAGUGUCCCUGGUGGCCUCACCGAGGUAUCCUCAUGGCCAUCAGGAUCCCCAAGGUGUCCCCAUGGCUGGUGGCCUCCUCAAAGUGUCCCUGGACCUGGUGGCCUGCCCAAGGUGUCCCUGGUGGCCUUUCCAAGGUGUUCCUGGGGCUCCCAGGAUCCCCAAGUGUUCUCUGAGAUGUCCCCAUGGCCAGUGACAUCCCCAAAGUGUCCCGUGGGUUCCCUGAGGUGUCCCCGUGGCCACCAGGCUCCCCGAGGUGUCCCCAUGACUUGUCACCUCCCCGAGGUGUCCCCGUGGCCACCAGGCUCCCCGAGGUGUCCCCAUGACUUGUCACCUCCCCGAGGUGUCCCCGUGGCCACCAGGCUCCAUCCUGAGCCCUCCCCACCCUGCCCCGUUCCCGUCAGGACACCUUCCAGGACUACCAGGAGAUGUUCAUCCAGUUUGGCUACGUGGUGCUCUUCUCCUCGGCCUUCCCGCUGGCCGCCAUGUGCGCCCUGGUCAACAACGUCAUCGAGAUCCGCAGCGACGCCUUCAAGCUCUGCACGGGGCUGCAGAGACCCUUCGGCCAGCGCGUGGAGAGCAUCGGCCAGUGGCAGAAGGUGAUGGAGGCCAUGGGUGUCCUGGCCAUCGUGGUCAACUGUUACCUGAUCGCGCAGUGCGGGCAGCUGCAGCGGCUCUUCCCCUGGCUCAGCCCCGAGGGGGCCAUCGUGUCCGUGGUGGUGCUGGAGGUACCGGAUCCGUGGGGUCUGUGGGGUG
RNAcentral lists this long non-coding RNA (1311 nucleotides) under Cyanistes caeruleus (blue tit). RNAcentral's name for it is "lncRNA (ENSCCEG00000003274.1)". The record is from RNAcentral. Lineage: Eukaryota; Metazoa; Chordata; Aves; Passeriformes; Paridae.